Molecule: long non-coding RNA, 1015 nt
Filed under: Sus scrofa (pig)
Lineage: Eukaryota; Metazoa; Chordata; Mammalia; Artiodactyla; Suidae
Description: lncRNA (ENSSSCG00045037441.1)
Source: RNAcentral
AGAGGAGAGAGGAAGGGAGGUCAGUGGCCCUGACCACGGCCGAGAGCCAAGUUCAGUGCACAUCCGAGACGGGCUUACUCAAGGUUGAGAAGGUCUUUGGAAAUCUUGGCCAGGGCAGUUUCGGAGGCGUGGUGGGGCCGGAGCAGAGUCAGGCUCGGACCUCCGAAGGCAGAUCUCUGAACCUCACGGUAGGGUUCUUUAGCAGCCAGAAGAUGAAGAAUGCGUGACUCUGACCCUCCCAACACCCCAGGGUGGGAUCGCUCUUCGCCCCAUUUUCCAGGAUGUUCAUUUACCCUCCCCAAAGCCAUGGACUGGGAUGAAAACUGCUCCCAACUCCUUCCAGCCCUGACACGGGACGAUGACGCUGAAGUUUAUCUAGGAAGAGGCACAAAUCGGACAGCCGACCCUAAUAAAUCAUGGAGUAGGAACAGGGCCGCACCGGAUCCUUAACCCACUGAAUGAGGCCAGGGAUCAAACCCACAUCCUCAUGGAUCCUAGUCAGGUUUGUUAACUGCUGAGCCACGAAGGGAACUCCCAGUUUUACUUUUUUUUUUUGAAACACAGCCAUGCAUGCGGACGCAAUUCUGCACUAUCUAUGGCUGCAUUGCACUGCAGAGACAAAAGUUGGAAAGACCAUAUGGACACAAAGCUGAACGUAUUUUCUAGUGCGUUACGGAAUAAGUUUUGGAAUUCUUCUGUGUAGCAUUCCAUUGUGUGAAUGUACUAAAACCUAAUUCUUCAUUUUAAUGUUAAGGCGCAUUUGUGGAGUCGCCAAGUUGGGGCUGUUAGUAAUCUGCUAUGAACAUCUCACGUAUGUCUUUUAGUGAAAAACGCGUGUGCAUUUCCAUUGAGUCUAUUCCUGGGAGAGAAUUUGUUAAAUCACAGGGUAGACGUUAAGUUUAACCUUCUCAAAACCAUCCACCAGUCCUCCAAAGCGGUUGUGCCAUUACUUCUCCCACAAGCAGUGUCUGAGGGUUUUGGUUGCUCUGUAUCCUCCUGCACUUGUAUUUUCUGU